This 523-nucleotide ribosomal RNA is filed under the name uncultured Pseudomonadota bacterium. RNAcentral's name for it is "bacterial SSU rRNA". It matches the Rfam family "Bacterial small subunit ribosomal RNA", at positions 381 to 896 of the family's 1533-position model. Lineage: Bacteria; Pseudomonadati; Pseudomonadota. The record is from RNAcentral.
ACCUGACGCAGCAACGCCGCGUGUGUGAUGAAGGUCUUCGGAUUGUAAAGCACUUUCGACCGGGACGAAAACCCGUUGGCUAACAUCCAACGGCUUGACGGUACCGGGAGAAGAAGCACCGGCUAACUCUGUGCCAGCAGCCGCGGUAAUACAGAGGGUGCAAGCGUUGUUCGGAAUUAUUGGGCGUAAAGCGCGUGUAGGCGGCUUUGCAAGUCGGGUGUGAAAGCCCUCAGCUCAACUGAGGAAGUGAGCCCGAAACUGCAGAGCUUGAGUGCCGGAGAGGGUGGCGGAAUUCCCCAAGUAGAGGUGAAAUUCGUAGAUAUGGGGAGGAACACCGGUGGCGAAGGCGGCCACCUGGACGGUAACUGACGCUGAGACGCGAAAGCGUGGGGAGCAAACAGGAUUAGAUACCCUGGUAGUCCACGCCGUAAACGAUGAGAACUAGGUGUCGUGGGUGUUGACCCCCGCGGUGCCGUAGCUAACGCAUUAAGUUCUCCGCCUGGGAAGUACGGUCGCAAGACUA